GAAAGCCGUAUGAGGGAAAAUCUCACGUACGGUUUGAUGAGGAGGUUCUGGCAGAGGUAUAACCAAAGCCAGAACUUUACUCUAC
RNAcentral lists this non-coding RNA (85 nucleotides) under Alkalibaculum bacchi. The record is from RNAcentral. Lineage: Bacteria; Bacillati; Bacillota; Clostridia; Eubacteriales; Eubacteriaceae.